Non-coding RNA from Cricetulus griseus (Chinese hamster), 73 nucleotides. Lineage: Eukaryota; Metazoa; Chordata; Mammalia; Rodentia; Cricetidae. The record is from Rfam.
GGAGAAAUGGCUUAGUGGUUAAGAGCACUGGCUGCUCUUCCAGAGGACCUGGGUUCAAUUCCUAGUACCCACA